RNAcentral lists this ribosomal RNA (478 nucleotides) under uncultured bacterium. RNAcentral describes it as "partial 16S ribosomal RNA". It matches the Rfam family "Bacterial small subunit ribosomal RNA", at positions 28 to 523 of the family's 1533-position model. The record is from RNAcentral.
GACGAACGCUGGCGGCGUGCCUAACACAUGCAAGUCGAGCGGAGAUAAUAGCAAUGUUAUCUUAGCGGCGGACGGGUGAGUAACGCGUGGGUAACCUGCCUUAUACAGGGGGAUAACACAGGGAAACUUGUGCUAAUACCGCAUAACAUCAGACCAUCACAUGGUGGACUGAUCAAAGGAGCAAUCCGGUAUAAGAUGGACCCGCGUCCGAUUAGCUAGUUGGAGGUGUAGCGGACCACCAAGGCGACGAUCGGUAGCCGAACUGAGAGGUUGAUCGGCCACAUUGGGACUGAGACACGGCCCAGACUCCUACGGGAGGCAGCAGUGGGGAAUAUUGCGCAAUGGGGGAAACCCUGACGCAGCAACGCCGCGUGAAGGAUGAAGGUUUUCGGAUUGUAAACUUCUUUAGUCGGGGACGAACAAAUGACGGUACCCGAAGAAUAAGCCACGGCUAACUACGUGCCAGCAGCCGCCGCAG